GGCAACGGCGGCGGGGCUAGGAAAAUUGCUGCCUGGGUCGGCUGGGCCUGUAGGCCUGCGUCCGGCAGCGCGCGGCCGUGCUUUCUAAGCGGGCUCGGCAGCACCAGACUUCACCGGCCCGGCGCGGGGCUCACAAGUGCUCGCACUCCCUGCGGCCGGCGCGCUGACCGGAGCAUCUGGGUCUCGCACGCAGCAGCUGCAGACGCUGCCCGGCGCGGUGGGGCUGUGAGGAAAACGGCCCGCUGGUGUGGUUGCCCAGACUGUGCUGGGCCCUCCUAGGUGGAUGGCCCUGCCCCAGCCUAACUUCUGUACCCCAGCAUAACCUCCAAAGUAACAGCCGUGCCCUGGGAGCCUGUUCAACACUGAACAUAUCCCACAAUAACACUGUUCCAGCGUCGCUGGUAAAAAGCAGAAAUGGCUUCGAUGUUUCUGGAUGAGAUUAGCAUUCAAAUUCGUGGACUUAUUAAAGUAGAUGGCCCUCUCCAAUAUGGGUGGGCAUCAUCCAAUCUGUUGAAGGCGUGAAGAGAACAAGAGAAGGAGGAAGGAAGAAUUCACCUUUUUUCUUGCUGCCCACCUGCUUGGGCUGGGACAUUGCAUCUCACCUUCUCCAGCCUUUGGAUGAGGAUUUACACCCUGGUUCUCAGGCCUUCAGGCUCUAACUGGAGCUACACUAUCAACUUUCCUGGGCCUCCAGAUUGCAGAUGGUGGAUCACGGUACUUUUUAGCCUCCAUCAUAAUAUGAGAAAAAAGAGGCACAGUGAAGCUAAAUAUAUUGGCUAAAGAUCACAAAGCUAAUAUCGCUCUUUUCUCUGAAAUUUGCCUGGGGCCGCAGCAUAAAUCUACAGUUACAACCAUGAAGAUAGAAGUUGCUCAUUAAUUCAGAGGGCAGGAACUUGUGAACAUAACUGUUAGAAGAUUAUCAAGGUUAUCUGUGCUCAAUGUGUGCAUCUCAGAUCAGCAGCAUCAGCAUCACCUGGGAGCUUGUUAGAGAUGGAGACUCUCAGGCUCCACGGCAGACUUCCUGAAUCAGAAGCUACAAUUUAACAGGAUCCUCGGGUGAUCUGAAAAUGCAAUAAAGUUUGGGAAGCACUGCUGUUGGUCAUUAGACAAUCUAAUGAACUAAGACUUUUGCCGAGCAUCUGAGUUGAAAUUUUUCAAGAUGAAAAGUUGCUAAAGAAAGAGAAAGGGAAGCGGUUUGCUCCAGUAUUCCUCUUUCCACCUUCCCACUGACUGGGAAGCAGCGGUUAGCAGAGCCACAGCCUUGGAUUAGAGAUAAGAGGGACGUGUUGAGGAAGGUGGAGUCUCCCCCACAGCCCUGGACCAGAAAUUAGUUGAUAACGUCUUCCAGGAGACCUACGGCCAUCCUACUGAUAUGAACCAGAUCAUACCUGCCCUGAUGGGAUGCCAGAGAAAGACUGCUGCAAGGUACUCGCCACUCACAGACCUCUCCGUUUAUCUCACUGAUGCAAAGGACCCUGAGUAGGGCUCCUCUGGAAACAGAACAGAGGGAAGAAGAUACCUUCCUUGAAGCCCAGAUGUUCCAGAAGCCUGCGCCUCAUUCACAAAGUCACCCCAAAAAUGCCCUAGAGUUUGGAGUUUUGAAGAAGUGGGAAGAAGGCCUGAGUAAGGGCCUGGGAACCAAGUUAGAUCCUGCUUCAGCAUCAGCACAUGCCAGCGAUGGUGCACACAGGUGGAGAGCGGCCUGCCUGUCUUUUCCAUGGUGCCCACAGACCCAUUUAGGAUGAAAGAUCAGAAAAUUCUCUCCAUGUCACCGCUUCUGAAACAUGUGAAUAUUAAUAUUUGGUGCCUAAAAGGUCAUGGCAAAUUUUCGUUGGUUUUAUCUUAUUCAUGAUUAUAGAGUUGAAAGAAUACAUAUUCCCAUGGGGAUCAAUGAAGACAUUCUCAUUUUGAAUGAAGUAGAAUAUAAGUUGUAAAGAUAUAGAAUUUUCCUGAACUGAACCUUGAACCAAAAAUCCCCUCAAUUACCCUGGAACUAAACACAGUCCCUGAAGAUAAAAAGGAGUUUCAGGAUGCCACAGGGCUGUCUGUGCAGUAUGGGGCUGCUUGCUGCAUCUCUGGUAUCUGAGGCAGAUAGGCUACUCAGGCCCCUCUCUGGUCUUAAGGUGGGCUGGCUGAGAUGUCAGUUUCUUCCUCAGUGACAGCUUGGGUACAGUAUGUGUAAACUGAUUGUCAGCUGAGCUGAAGGGACUCUGCCCAUAUUGGAGUGUUCUACAAGAAGAGGUGUCAAACAUAAAGGUCUAAAAUGACUAUGAAAGGAGUAUUGGAAACCACUGGGACAAUUGUGAUCACAACUGGUGGUAGCCUUCUAGUUUGGGUGAGAAAGACAGAAAGAAGGAAGAUGUGUUAGUCAGGGUUCUCUAGAGGGACAGAACUAAUAGGAUAUAUGUAUAUAUGAGAGGCAGUUUAUUAAGGAGAAUUGACUCACGUGAUCACAAGCUAAAGUCCCAAGAUAGGCUGUCUGCAAGUUGAGGAGCGAGGAAGUCAUUGGUGGAUUGUUCUGGGUACCAAAACCUCAAAAGUAGGGAAAUCGACAGUGCAGCCUUCAAUCUGUGGUCAAAGGCUCGAGGGGCCCUGGCAGACCAAUGGUGUAAGUCCAAGAGUCCCAGAAGCUGAAGAACUUGGAGUCUGAUGUUUGAGGGCAGGAAGCAUCCAGCACAGGAGAAAGACGGAUGCUGGAAGACUUAGCAAGUCUGUUCUUUCCAAUUUCUUCUGCCUGCUUUUAUUCUAGCCAUGCUGGCAGCUGAUUAGAUGGUGCCCACCCAAAUUGAGGGUGGCUGUGCUUCUCCCAGUCCACUGACUCAAAUGUUAAUCUCCUUUGGCAACACCCUUACAGACACACCCAGGAACAAUACUUUGCAUCCUUCAUUCCAAUCAAGUUGACACUCAAUAUUAACCAUCACAGAAGGAGAACUUCAGGCUGAGUCCAAACACUAUGGCCCCAGCCCCAGCUUCCCCUUUCUGGGUUGAAUAACCAGACUGAGCCUAAGAAAAGGAAAAGAGUUGACUUUCUCCCAAAAGGCCUGCAGCGGGUUAGAAGGCAAUGGUUUGGGGACCAUACUGAGUGCCUAGGAUGCUCUGGACCACAAAGCUUGAAGUCAAAUUGUUCAUGCACUUGUUUCAUGAUAGAAAGAGAGAGAGAGAGAGAGAGAGAGAGAAAUUUCCUUUCCUUGAAGAAUGGCAAAACACGUCUCUUGUUCUGGGGGCUAUAUCUUGAAGGGUAUCUGAUCUCCCCCUCAUGGGAGGAACUAGAAUGCCCUAAGGCAGCCGUGGCUCCUGGAGCUGAGAGAUCUUUCUGACACUUUGUGAGAGCUGCAAGGCUAAGUCUGGAGCCAGAAAAGUCCAUGUGGACAAGUGCAGAGCAAGCAGAUCUGAGACACAUGUGGGAGCAAGCUGGACAUGUCCAAAAAUCAGAGGAAGCAAGAGCAGACAUGCAUGAGCAGGCAGAUGAGGCUGGUGCCCAGGCAGCAGGCUGAGGCUCUGGCUGGGCUUUGGAUGCUCCUGAGAGUCCAGUUAGAGACCAGUGAGCAAACUCACAGUGAACUCUUAUUCCUCACGCAGCAGGACGAGGGAUUAAGCACAAAGCCUUAAAGGUCUGAGUGUCUCUUUAUCCUGACCUCAGGAAAGAGAGGCAAGUAUCAUGUUUCUAAAAGUCUGAGAAGUCUUCACAUGACAGCCUACACCAAAAGAACUCAAAUGCACAUCCACUGCAUACACGCAUGUGUGCACACAUAUACAUGUGUACACAUGCAUGCCCACACACAACCCUCUGGAAGAGGAAGUAAAGAGACUUUAUGUUUUCAGCCCCUCUUGAGGAAACUUAAACUAAGUCUUUCUGUGGGGUUAGUGGUGGAGACAGAGAGGGUCUGGGGUCACCGAGGCCGAGGUGGCUGGACCCAGAGGGUAGAGCUGAGGGGAUCCCCUGAGACUGGGAAGAUGGAGCAGAAGCAGAUGGCAGAUGGCAGCAGGUGAGAGCAGACUGGAUUUCUCCUAAAUCACCAGAUCCAGCCAACCUUUCUUUCCUUAGGGACACCUCCAGAUCCCAUUCCAAAUGAACUCUUUCUCUGACCUUUCACCUCAAUUCAGAAUUUGGGAAAUUUAGCCAUGAUCUUAGGAACACAGAGGCUUGAAACAAUCUUUUCUAACCACCCGUUUGUUCAGACUGUGUAAGUUCUGCUUCUGCAUCCAGUGUCAAGACCCAAGAACCAUUUUAAAGGGGAGCCAUCCUUUGAAAUUAAACUUCUUUUAAUAAUAAAGACAGAUUUCAGGGUUGACAUAAAAGAUAGCCACAAUAAAGCCAAUCCUCCAGUGUAUAACAUUUUUCAAAGUUUCCUUCCUCUUCAUUGCUGGUGUUCAUGUACAGUCUAGAGUUAGUCUACAUUAAAUUAUAGAUUGUUUUCAGCAAUAAUGCAAACAUUUGGAAGCCUUCAAACUCUCUGAUAACUAACUUCUACAUUCUCUCUGCUAUUAUUAUAUAGAAAGGGAAAUUUUACCUGAUGCUGUUAAACUCCUCACGAACAUAGUGAUCCGAAUUGGCUGAAGUGGAAAACUAAAUGUUAGUUGAUUUUCAAAACAAGAUUUCCACUCUGAAUUCCCAUUUUUCACAUGUGAUCAUAUGCCUUGUUGUGAAUUUGAACUAAAAAGAAAAUCCAUGCCCACUGGAUUAAUGCUAGAAGAUAAUCUAGAGCAUAGUAAUUUCUUAGACUUCACUUUAUUAGCCACUAAACUUGGAAUGAUUAUUUCUACGUUCAAUUAUUAAGUCUAUAUCUCCAUUUCUUAAAAAGGUCUGAGGCAGCCCCUUUGAAUAUUAAUAUGCAUUUAUUUUCAUCUCUCAAAUAAAAAAAAUAGUUCACAG
This is a long non-coding RNA of Pan troglodytes (chimpanzee), 4873 nucleotides long. RefSeq lists it as uncharacterized. NCBI's taxonomy places the organism in Eukaryota, Metazoa, Chordata, Mammalia, Primates, Hominidae. The transcript is spliced from 8 exons. The record is from RefSeq and is a predicted model, not a curated record.